GAUGAAGAACGCAGCGAAAUGCGAUAAGUAAUGCGAAUUGCAGAUUUCAGUGAGUCAUCGAAUCUUUGAACGCACAUUGCGCCCGCCAGUAUUCUGGCGGGCAUGCCUGUUCGAGCGUCAUUUCAACCAUCAAGCCCCCGGGCUUGCGUUGGGGCCCUGCGGCUGCCGCAGGCCCCGAAAAGCAGAGGCGGGCUCGCCGUCACACCGAGCGCAGUAGCGAUUCUCGCUCCGGGCGUCGGCGGCGGGCACCGGCCGUGAAACCCCCCCACAUCCACAAGGUUGACCUCGGAUCAGGUAGGAAUACCCGCUGAACUUAAGCAUAUCAAUAAGCGGAGGA
RNAcentral lists this unclassified non-coding RNA (337 nucleotides) under soil metagenome. RNAcentral's name for it is "partial contains 5.8S ribosomal RNA, internal transcribed spacer 2, and large subunit ribosomal RNA". The stretch from base 1 to 120 matches the Rfam family "5.8S ribosomal RNA", at positions 35 to 154 of the family's 154-position model. The record is from RNAcentral.